AGCAGAUGGCAUCCAUACACUUUGGGAUCCCUGCUUCACACUUCCCACUGCAGCAACGCAACAUUUUCCUUUCAUUGGAGGAGCCCGAGUCUCUCACACGAGAAUAUCUCCCAAACUGUUUCUCCGCAUACCUCUGCUGAAAAAGGAUUACCUGGCAAACUGAGCAGAGAAAAGGUGCACAUGAAGAUCUGAGAUGUUCCUUCCUUCAGUGCUACAGCUAAUAAAGAUGCAGCAGAGAGCAACAUGUUAGAAAAGCUGAGUUUGAACUUCCUGCUGAUGGUGGUGCUGUAGGAGUGUUACAGCUUUAUGGUAGUUCCUGAAUUUUGGGAGGGGGAUGGACACACUGGAUAUAGAUGCUGAACUCCCCUACGAGAUCCAAGGGAACAAGUGUCUGCCACUGUUGAGAGAGUCAGUCACACAAAUAAAAGUGAGCUGAUUGCAGAUAGGUUUACCAAGAGACUUUGAAAGACAGUAUCAGCAAUAAAUCUGAAUCUAAACAA
Long non-coding RNA from Passer domesticus (house sparrow), 500 nucleotides. RefSeq lists it as uncharacterized. The record is from RefSeq and is a predicted model, not a curated record. NCBI's taxonomy places the organism in Eukaryota, Metazoa, Chordata, Aves, Passeriformes, Passeridae. The transcript has 3 exons.